Molecule: long non-coding RNA, 292 nt
Filed under: Elaeis guineensis (African oil palm)
Lineage: Eukaryota; Viridiplantae; Streptophyta; Magnoliopsida; Arecales; Arecaceae
Description: long non-coding RNA (EGUI_LNC045284)
Source: RNAcentral
UUGAUUGUUAUUGUAUACAACUUCCAAGUAUUCCCCUCAACCUGCUAGCAUUGAUGUUUACAUAUAUGAUAAAGGUAGCAAGAAGGGCGAAGGCCUACUUUCCCUAUGAUAUGGCUCUCAGCCUCAUCUUCAAAGAGUUCGGCAUAACUCCUAAGAGGGAGACUAGUUGAGUUCUGGUGCACUAUAACACCUACAAUGAGUGGUCACUACAUCAUAUAGGCUACUAGAAGUUAGAGGAGAGAUGGGUUUGGAUGAACUCUAGGCAGGAUACUUAAGAGAUGAGGUUGGGCCA